CAGCAGCCACGUAGCACCCAUCCCGUCCCUAAGAACCACGGCCGCCUCACCUCUGCCGAUGCUUCCUGCGCGGCUCUGCAAACCUCGGGGCUGCCUCCGUCUACACGAGGCAACGCACAAAAUACAUCCUCGCUUGGCAGUAGUCAAAUAUCAGCCAAGGUCCGCCUGAAUAUCCACCACAAGGCAAUACUUUCCACGGGAGACCGAGAGAAACUGGGGAACACAGGGGUCAAAUUCCCGUCAUCUCCAGCGCACAGCCCCUCGCACCGGAUUGGCGGGUUUGUAAUAAUGCUGGCCAAUGGCGUGCUAGAGGCUGUGUUGGGAGCACAAGUGAGCGAAUAGACACACCCUCUGGCGCUGACGUCACCGUGGGGCGUGGUCUCGGCCCACGCUCCUGUACUGGUCCCAUCGCCUCCGAGUUGGUCACAUGGAGCGUCGUCUGGCAGCCAGCGAGCGCCAAUCAGCGGCCAGCACGGAGAGCGCAGUCCCGAAAUACUUGGGGCUGUAAUUGCGAAGGGGGAAAUGAAGUCAGCUGGAGUA
This is a long non-coding RNA of Portunus trituberculatus (swimming crab), 540 nucleotides long. RefSeq lists it as uncharacterized. The record is from RefSeq and is a predicted model, not a curated record. The transcript has 2 exons. NCBI's taxonomy places the organism in Eukaryota, Metazoa, Arthropoda, Malacostraca, Decapoda, Portunidae.